GAUGAACGCUGGCGGCGUGCCUAAUACAUGCAAGUCGAGCGAACAGACGAGGAGCUUGCUCCUCUGACGUUAGCGGCGGACGGGUGAGUAACACGUGGAUAACCUACCUAUAAGACUGGGAUAACUUCGGGAAACCGGAGCUAAUACCGGAUAAUAUAUUGAACCGCAUGGUUCAAUAGUGAAAGACGGUUUUGCUGUCACUUAUAGAUGGAUCCGCGCCGCAUUAGCUAGUUGGUAAGGUAACGGCUUACCAAGGCGACGAUGCGUAGCCGACCUGAGAGGGGGAUCGGCCACACUGGAACUGAGACACGGUCCAGACUCCUACGAGAGGCAGCAGUAGGGAAUCUUCCGCAAUGGGCGAAAGCCUGACGGAGCAACGCCGCGUGAGUGAUGAAGGUCUUCGGAUCGUAAAACUCUGUUAUUAGGGAAGAACAAAUGUGUAAGUAACUAUGCACGUCUUGACGGUACCUAAUCAGAAAGCCACGGCUAACUACGUG
Molecule: ribosomal RNA, 497 nt
Filed under: uncultured bacterium
Lineage: Bacteria
Description: partial 16S ribosomal RNA
Rfam family: Bacterial small subunit ribosomal RNA
Source: RNAcentral